This 139-nucleotide transfer RNA is filed under the name Planktothrix sp. FACHB-1355. RNAcentral's name for it is "tRNA-OTHER". RNAcentral also lists the same sequence under 1 other name. The record is from RNAcentral. Lineage: Bacteria; Bacillati; Cyanobacteriota; Cyanophyceae; Oscillatoriales; Microcoleaceae.
UGGCGAGUAGCUCAGAGGUAGAGCGCUAAAACAUCCUUAUUUCACAACUUGUCGAAACGGGAAAACCCCCAAGGGCCGAAGAAUUGAGGAUUACCGACUCAUAAGCGGGAGGUCGCGGGUUCGAGUCCUGCCUCGCCAC